Molecule: unclassified non-coding RNA, 323 nt
Filed under: soil metagenome
Description: partial contains 5.8S ribosomal RNA, internal transcribed spacer 2, and large subunit ribosomal RNA
Rfam family: 5.8S ribosomal RNA (bases 1-120)
Source: RNAcentral
GAUGAAGAACGUAGCGAAAUGCGAUAAGUAAUGCGAAUUGCAGAAUUCAGUGAGUCAUCGAAUCUUUGAACGCACAUUGCGCCCUGUGGUAUUCCGCAGGGCAUGCCUGUUCGAGCGUCAUUUCAACCCUCAAGCUCUGCUUGGUGUUGGGCCCUGCCCGCUGCGGCCGGCCCUAAAGACAGUGGCGGUGCCACCUGGCCCUGAGCGUAGUACAUCUCUCGCUCCAGUGCCCGGUGGUAGCCUGCCAGAACCCCAACUCUCGUGGUUGACCUCGGAUCAGGUAGGGAUACCCGCUGAACUUAAGCAUAUCAAUAAGCGGAGGA